RNAcentral lists this ribosomal RNA (497 nucleotides) under uncultured bacterium. Its description in RNAcentral is "partial 16S ribosomal RNA". It matches the Rfam family "Bacterial small subunit ribosomal RNA", at positions 28 to 507 of the family's 1533-position model. The record is from RNAcentral.
GACGAACGCUGGCGGCGUGCCUAAUACAUGCAAGUAGAACGCUGAAGAGAGGAGCUUGCUCUUCUUGGAUGAGUUGCGAACGGGUGAGUAACGCGUAGGUAACCUGCCUUGUAGCGGGGGAUAACUAUUGGAAACGAUAGCUAAUACCGCAUAACAAUGGAUGACACAUGUCAUUUAUUUGAAAGGGGCAAUUGCUCCACUACAAGAUGGACCUGCGUUGUAUUAGCUAGUAGGUGAGGUAAUGGCUCACCUAGGCGACGAUACAUAGCCGACCUGAGAGGGUGAUCGGCCACACUGGGACUGAGACACGGCCCAGACUCCUACGGGAGGCAGCAGUAGGGAAUCUUCGGCAAUGGGGGCAACCCUGACCGAGCAACGCCGCGUGAGUGCAGAAGGUUUUCGGAUCGUAAAGCUCUGUUGUAAGUCAAGAACGGGUGUGAGAGUGGAAAGUUCACACUGUGACGGUAGCUUACCAGAAAGGGACGGCUAACUACGUG